GACGAACCGAGCGAACGUUGUUCGGAAUCACUGGGCUUAAAGGGCGCGUAGGCGGGUGCUCAAGUCCGGGGUGAAAUCCUCCGGCUCAACCGGAGAACUGCCUCGGAUACUGGGUGCCUCGAGGGUGGUAGGGGUAUGCGGAACUAUCGGUGGAGCGGUGAAAUGCGUUGAUAUCGAUAGGAACUCCGGUGGCGAAGGCGGCAUACUGGACCACCUCUGACGCUGAGGCGCGAAAGCCAGGGGAGCAAACGGG
RNAcentral lists this ribosomal RNA (253 nucleotides) under uncultured bacterium. RNAcentral describes it as "partial 16S ribosomal RNA". It matches the Rfam family "Bacterial small subunit ribosomal RNA", at positions 524 to 776 of the family's 1533-position model. The record is from RNAcentral.